Hylaeus volcanicus is the source of this 927-nucleotide long non-coding RNA. RefSeq lists it as uncharacterized. NCBI's taxonomy places the organism in Eukaryota, Metazoa, Arthropoda, Insecta, Hymenoptera, Colletidae. The transcript is spliced from 4 exons. The record is from RefSeq and is a predicted model, not a curated record.
UCUCAUCGUACAGCCGUGAACGCGUGAUAGUAGUCCGAGCGAAUAGUUUAGAGCAGAGUUGCCGUAUCGAAGUAAAUUGAUUGCGAAAAGUGCGUGAUAGACAAUGACUCAUAUUCCUCGUUGAAUAACCUUAUUUUAAUUUUAAAUUUUCGUCUCUCGUAAAUAUUAAUUAGCCGUUUAUUACGUAAAUCAUAAUUCUUUCGCGCGCGCGCGCGCGUGUGUGCUUUCCCUCCAACGAGAACAUCAUCAACGAACAUCAUCGCCAUUAUCGUAGCUGAGUUGUCGCAGCGGCAAGUCGUAUACAAAUCUUACCGGUGAAACCGACUCAUGCACCAACGAAGACCCCUUCCCCUUGAGCAGCUGUCUUCAUUGGUGGAGAGCUAGUGAAUUUCCUCUGGAAGGACAGUAGCCUGGCGACGUGACGAACCGACGAAGCCACUUCCGAUGUUGCUCCCGCUUGGAGGGCCACGUCCAAUACCGCAAGGGUGUCUUUGUCCCUUCGCAGUGCGCACUGUAACUCCGUCAAACGGAUGCUGAACUGCUGGACGGCUUGCAGAGCGCACAAUUGUUGACUGCCCCUGAAAAGUAAAGUGUUAACGCCGACUUACCAGAGUCUUUUUACGCAGCCUGCUCUUCUUCCUACGCAACGAGCUGUUCCGAACCACGCGGCCAUCGUGACAGAUGAUCGACUCCUCCAUCAACGUGGACGUCGAAUUGUUGAAUGAUUUGCGUGAUCCUCUACAACACAGAACAAAGGAAAUCGCAACGUUCCAGUUGAAGUUCCAAAGCCCAAGUUUACGAUAUUUAACGCGAUACAUUCUUCUGAAUUCUGUGCGACUCUAAUUUAAUAAAUCAUUAUUAAUCCUACAAAUUUCAUGUAUUAUAAUUUUACUCUAAUUCUAUACAUUGUACAUUUAAUAAUCUCCU